GUUAAAGAUGAUGAUGAAGAGGAGAUGGAUUUAUGGGGCGAUCAUCCGUAUGGCAUCAUAGAAAGAAAUCCCCCCAAGAGAUGUCCCCGUCCUCUGUAUUCCCAGGACUGUCCAGAGGAGAAGCUCAGAGAGAACCAUCAGAUGACAAAUCAGGGGGAAGAUCUGACUGAUAUUAAAGUGGAUGAUGAAGAAGAGCGGAU
Molecule: long non-coding RNA, 200 nt
Organism: Bufo gargarizans (Asiatic toad)
Lineage: Eukaryota; Metazoa; Chordata; Amphibia; Anura; Bufonidae
Exons: 3
Source: RefSeq, a predicted model, not a curated record